RNAcentral lists this ribosomal RNA (253 nucleotides) under uncultured bacterium. RNAcentral's name for it is "partial 16S ribosomal RNA". It matches the Rfam family "Bacterial small subunit ribosomal RNA", at positions 524 to 776 of the family's 1533-position model. The record is from RNAcentral.
UACGGAGGGGGCUAGCGUUGUUCGGAAUUACUGGGCGUAAAGCGCACGUAGGCGGCUUUGUAAGUUAGAGGUGAAAGCCCGGGGCUCAACUCCGGAAUUGCCUUUAAGACUGCAUCGCUAGAACUGUGGAGAGGUAAGUGGAAUUCCGAGUGUAGAGGUGAAAUUCGUAGAUAUUCGGAAGAACACCAGUGGCGAAGGCGACUUACUGGACACAUAUUGACGCUGAGGUGCGAAAGCGUGGGGAGCAAACAGG